CGGUGACAUAUAAUUUUUUUUUUAAUUUUCUGAUGUAUAUGUUCAAUAUCUAAUUGAAUUCUAAAUUUCCAAAAAUAUUAUGGACUCAUCUUGACCUUAAGUGCAAAAAUGAAAAUGCUACUCGAAAUGGACAAAAUGUAUGGCAAAAAAAUAGCCGAAAGUGGUCAUGAAAUGGCACAACUUUGGCAGCGUAUCGCCGCGAUGCGGUAUGUAGGGUUCAGCGUAUAUUUUUAUUUUUUUUUUAUUUUUUUUUUGGGGGGGGGGGGGUACAUAUAGACCAAGAGUACCAGCAUGUUAGCGUAUAGCUAUCGGAAUCUGUAGUUUUCUGUUCAAAAGAGGGUUGUAAAUAAGAACAAUGAGUUUCAACUUACAGUUUUCUCAUAUCACAUGCAUGCAACGUCAUAACUAUUAUAUAGUCUUCUAUACUACAUGUAUAAAUAAUUCAUCAAACAUCUCAUUUCAUAUAAGUAUUUAUCCGGCUCAGCCUGUCGGGUUUUUACAAAGCAGAGUCAAAUUCAUAUGUUCUAGUUCUGAAUAUGCAUUAAACUUGCCACUGGACGUAAAUGUGUGAAGUCCUAUUUGAAAUCGUUAUUUAUUUCACAUGUGACGACAGAAAUGAUCUAAGUGUCGUCCAUCUUUCCCAAAUGUUCCUUUGAUAUCUAACGCCUCUGAACCCUGAACAGUUUGGGCAAGUUUGGAUACAAUAUUAAAGCUUGAUACGGUCUAAAUUUGGAUUGUGAUAAAAUUUUUGACAUAAUAUAGGUUUCUGACACAAAAUAAAUGUGGUCAAAGGUAUUAAAAAUCUAUUGUGCAAUACUGUGCAAUUGGAGAUUUCUUUUUGAGAUAUUUCGAAAAAUUUGCAAAAAAAAAAUGAAACGCCACCCCCUCCCCUCUUGGAGUAAUUACCACCAAACUCAAUCCCAGCCUUCCCUGUGUGGUAUGGAACCUUGUAGUACAAUUUUAGAUAGAUCCAUAACACAAGUUAUUGUAAAAUAGUAAUUUUAGUAAAAUGCUUGUUUGUGGCCCCUAAUUCCUGAACGUUUUGAGCAAUUACAUGUACCCCUUAAAUCAAUUUCAGCCUUUCAUUUGUGAUAUGGAACCUUGUGGUACAAUUUCAGAAAGAUUCAUUACUUCUCAAUGUCAUAUUAAAAAUUUAUGAAAAUCAAAAGGGUAUUUACAUCAACAGAUAUAAACAAUUUAUCAAAGUUGUAUGAAAAUUGAUGAAAGCGAUAUUGAGUUAUAAUUGUCCGAAAACUGGAAAAUCCCCCUUUUUUAAUGGAUAACUCGGAAACGUAAAAUCAAAAUUUAUAAAAAAAAAAGAAAAGGGAGCUCACGUCAAUAGAUAUAAACAAUUUCUUUAAAGUUUUAUGCCAAUUGGUUAAAGCGUUUUUGAGUUAAUGUCCGAUAUGUUGACGACGGACGGACGGACAGAUGUAUACCAUAAUACGUCCCGUAACCGGGCGUAUAAUAAUUCAACACGUACUAUACAUUUGGCUUUACCAGUCUCCAACAAGAGAAAUAUUUAACACACACACACACACACACACAUGUAUUUAUGUAGAGAUAUACACAUGUCUCACAGAGUACUGCUAAACUGUAACAAACACAUUAAUGGUCCGUCUGGUGAAAGAAUAUUCCACUCAUAUAGACAAAUGUUUUGUGCUGAUGUUCAUGUAAUAUUUGCCACUGAAAGUUUUGCAAAAAAUCAAGAAAACAAUCAAUGGUAAAAAAAUUAAUAAAUAGUAAUAAAAGUUCAGAUGUAGGUUCGAGUUUAGAUCACUCAAUGUGAUCACUGUCGACAGUGAUAAAGGGAUAUUGUCGGAGACCGUGACUGAAAAGGACAUCCAGUUUUUUUACUCUUUAUUCUUUGGUUCUUUAAACAAAAAUAGCCAACAUGAUAUAUCAGAGAGUGCUUAAAU
This 1919-nucleotide long non-coding RNA is filed under the name Mytilus galloprovincialis (Mediterranean mussel). Lineage: Eukaryota; Metazoa; Mollusca; Bivalvia; Mytilida; Mytilidae. The record is from RNAcentral.